GUUAGGGCGAUGCCACUACUACUAGGUUGUUGGUAGAUAGUGUAGGGAGGUACGGGCAUGAGGACCCACACCCUCCUAAGACAGCGUAGUGACCUUUGGGGGCCCGGUACUACGCCUCACAGUCUCAGCGUACCGGUGGUACUUCAGUAUGGUCCCAGUUCUGAGUGGUAGGGUGGCAUCAUACUUAGUUGGAAGGCAGCCCGGCAUCAGCCUAGGUGGGGCGCACCACCGAUGAUGGUGAUCUUGUGGUUAGUGCAAACCUCUGUAGAGUUUCUGGUUGAUCGAUCGAUACAUAUGCCGUCUUUUUGGCUAUGGACCUUUCCUAUGUUUCCGCUUCACUUGACUAGUGAGAGGAGUCCCUUCUACCUUCCCCUGGGUUUGUGUUGGAUCCG
This 392-nucleotide long non-coding RNA is filed under the name Sorghum bicolor (sorghum). RNAcentral describes it as "long non-coding RNA (SBIC_LNC018486)". The record is from RNAcentral. Lineage: Eukaryota; Viridiplantae; Streptophyta; Magnoliopsida; Poales; Poaceae.